RNAcentral lists this ribosomal RNA (496 nucleotides) under uncultured bacterium. Its description in RNAcentral is "partial 16S ribosomal RNA". It matches the Rfam family "Bacterial small subunit ribosomal RNA", at positions 28 to 506 of the family's 1533-position model. The record is from RNAcentral.
GAUGAACGCUGGCGGCGUGCCUAAUACAUGCAAGUCGAGCGAACAGACGAGGAGCUUGCUCCUCUGACGUUAGCGGCGGACGGGUGAGUAACACGUGGAUAACCUACCUAUAAGACUGGGAUAACUUCGGGAAACCGGAGCUAAUACCGGAUAAUAUAUUGAACCGCAUGGUUCAAUAGUGAAAGACGGUUUUGCUGUCACUUAUAGAUGGAUCCGCGCCGCAUUAGCUAGUUGGUAGGGUAACGGCUUACCAAGGCGACGAUGCGUAGCCGACCUGAGAGGGUGAUCGGCCACACUGGAACUGAGACACGGUCCAGACACCUACGGGAGGCAGCAGUAGGGAAUCUUCCGAAAUGGGCGAAAGCCUGACGGAGCAACGCCGCGUGAGUGAUGAAGGGCUUCGGAUCGUAAAACUCUGUUAUUAGGGAAGAACAAAUGUGUAAGUAACGAUGCACGUCUUGACGGUACCGAAACAGAAAGCCACGGCUAACUACGU